Molecule: long non-coding RNA, 834 nt
Organism: Sorex araneus (European shrew)
Lineage: Eukaryota; Metazoa; Chordata; Mammalia; Eulipotyphla; Soricidae
Exons: 3
Source: RefSeq, a predicted model, not a curated record
AGGGAAGAGGGGCAGAGGGAUGGAGACGCGAGCGAGGGAGCCCCCUAGAGACCGGGGACCGGGGGAGGCCGGGGGCGGGGAACCCGGGCGUCUCCAGGUGCGCGCACCAGCUCCGGGGCCUGGAGUGCUCGGGGCGGUGGGCACCGGCUCCCGCCCCGCCACGGCGCGGGCGAGGCCGGGGGCUCAGAGGCCGAGCGGGAGGGCCGCGUUCCUCGGAAAAGUCGUCUCCAAGGGCAGAAUCCUCCCUCCCUCCCGGGCCGGCUGGGGCGGCCAGAGCGUGUCACCCCACCCAGGCCCGCAGCUCCCGCUCUCAGGCCCGGCCCGGGGGAGGCGCUGCAGCCCGGCACCUGCCCGAGAGCCCGGGGGCCCGGGUGCAGGUGGAGCGGUGGGGCGAGGAUUCGGAGGCAAAGGGGUCUAGUUCUCCCCGCUUCUCGCGCACCUGUCAGAUCUGCGGCUUCUGAAAAAAGCUUUCAAUAGGCAUCGAUCUUCGGUAGCGGACUGCCAGACUUUGGGCUGUAGUCUGUAAACUCCAGGCUCCCCUUCAGCGCGUGGGAACUGGCAACAUCCACUUGUUAUGCACUGUGCGGAAGGGAAGCAGCCCCUGAAACAGAGCUUCUUGGUGUCUGACUAGCAGAACCCCAAGCUCUUCAAAGCCUGGUGAGGGCGCCUACUUCCGCAUGCUGGAGAAGUCUGCCUUCAUGUCCCUGGCCCUGGGAACCAUGCCUUUCAGAUGAUACUGGUAGCCUUUCCGGAGCGUCUUGUCAAUUCUGGUUUCUCAGUUGGUUCCUAGAACCCACUGUUUAUGGACUGGACAUGAUGAGGUGAACUGGAAAA